This 543-nucleotide ribosomal RNA is filed under the name uncultured Glomeromycotina. RNAcentral describes it as "SSU rRNA". It matches the Rfam family "Eukaryotic small subunit ribosomal RNA", at positions 552 to 1096 of the family's 1831-position model. The record is from RNAcentral. Lineage: Eukaryota; Fungi; Glomeromycota.
AGGGCAAGUCUGGUGCCAGCAGCCGCGGUAAUUCCAGCUCCAAUAGCGUAUAUUAAAGUUGUUGCAGUUAAAAAGCUCGUAGUUGAAUUUCGGGGUCAGCAGGUUGGUCGUGCCAAUGGUAUGCACUGGCCUUGCUGAUUCCUCCCUCUUGAUGAGCCGUAAUGCCAUUAAUUUGGUGUUGUGGGGAAUCAGGACUGUUACUUUGAAAAAAUUAGAGUGUUUAAAGCAGGCAAGCGCUUGAAUACAUUAGCAUGGAAUAAUGAAAUAGGACGUUCGAUCCUAUUUUGUUGGUUUCUAGGAUUGACGUAAUGAUUAAUAGGGAUAGUUGGGGGCAUUAGUAUUCAAUUGUCAGAGGUGAAAUUCUUGGAUUUAUUGAAGACUAACUACUGCGAAAGCAUUUGCCAAGGAUGUUUUCAUUAGUCAAGAACGAAAGUUAGGGGAUCGAAGACGAUCAGAUACCGUCGUAGUCUUAACCAUAAACUAUGCCGACUAGGGACCGGAUGAUGUUAAUUUUUUAAUGACUCAUUCGGCGCCUUACGGGAA